CAAGUGCUGUAUAUAACAAGCGAAGAACAUACGCCACUCAUCAAAACACAAAGAUGGCGAUCAAAGCUCUGUUGAUGGCGAUGAUGAUGUAUGCCCUCAUCCUCGUGGCCAAGAAAGCUGACAUGCCUGAUCAGCCUACCACUCCAUGUCCAAUGUCACAAACAUCCACGUAAAGUCUUAGAGUCCACGGCUUUCUCAGAACCUCGAAAUCCAGGAUCUAGAAUCUGCCUAAAUGUGAUGUAAAUCUCCAUAUUUUAAAUUAUAAUUGUAUAC
Penaeus monodon (black tiger shrimp) is the source of this 273-nucleotide long non-coding RNA. RefSeq lists it as uncharacterized. The record is from RefSeq and is a predicted model, not a curated record. NCBI's taxonomy places the organism in Eukaryota, Metazoa, Arthropoda, Malacostraca, Decapoda, Penaeidae. The transcript has 3 exons.